Molecule: ribosomal RNA, 301 nt
Filed under: uncultured bacterium
Lineage: Bacteria
Description: partial 16S ribosomal RNA
Rfam family: Bacterial small subunit ribosomal RNA
Source: RNAcentral
CAGUCGCCACGGUAAUACGGAGGGAGCUAGCGUUGUUCGGAAUUACUGGGCGUAAAGCGCGCGUAGGCGGUUACUCAAGUCAGAGGUGAAAGCCCGGGGCUCAACCCCGGAACUGCCUUUGAAACUAGGUGACUAGAAUCUUGGAGAGGUCAGUGGAAUUCCGAGUGUAGAGGUGAAAUUCGUAGAUAUUCGGAAGAACACCAGUGGCGGAGGCGACUGACUGGACAAGUAUUGACGCUGAGGUGCGAAAGCGUGGGGAGCAAACAGGAUUAGAUACCCCCGUAGUCCCUGUCUCUUAUAC